This is a long non-coding RNA of Homo sapiens (human), 2645 nucleotides long. Ensembl annotates it as ZNF350 antisense RNA 1. Its record names the gene ZNF350-AS1. Lineage: Eukaryota; Metazoa; Chordata; Mammalia; Primates; Hominidae. The record is from Ensembl.
GGGAGGAAUUCUGUCGUCUGGGAACGGCUGGUUUCGCGGUCAGACGCCGAGGGCCCUCGAAGUCCCUAGCAACGGCUGCGGAGGGAGAUUCCACCUAGGUCCGUGCAGGUUACAAAUGGCAACCAGAACAGGGACUCCAAGCACGCCCAACUAGCAGCAUCCAAACAUGGGACUUCAAGGACGUGAAUGAAGAAGGUCUGCUGGAGCAGAGGAACUGAAAUUGACAAGGCGAAAGGGGACCCUGGGAAGAGUCUGCCGGCAGCAGAUAUAAGGAGAUGGGACAAGCCAUGUGGGUGCCCUCAAGGUGCAUGCGACCAUGGAAUGGGAGACUGGAGGAACCCAGGGUGGCCAACCAUGGGCCCAGUCCCUCCUGUACGAGCUAUGAGUCAGCUGAGCCUGAGUGCAAAGAUGGAGAGAAGGCCAACCAGAGUCAUGAUGACAUCAACCCCCAUAACCUGGGGACAACUCAAGAAAACCACACAGGAAGCUGAGAAACUACUGGAGUGUCAGGGACAGGCAAAACCCCUGAUUCCAUGCUCUUGGCCAUGUUAGCCAUAAUGUCCUGUGCACUACGUUUUCCCUGUGCACAGGCAAAAACAUAUUGGGCAUAUGUUCCCAAUCCCCCAGCAGUAUGGCCUAUACUUUGGAGCUCACUCCUCCUGAGAUUUAUCACGAUCAGGGAGAGUGGGCUCCAGGACCCCUAACUCCCCGUGACAUAGAAAAGUUAGACUCUCAGAACAAUGUCAUUAAUUAUACCACUCCACUGGAAGGACUCCCUUUGUUUAUCACCACAAAGACGUCGCUCAGCCAUAGCUGUCUUGCAAUUCAAGCUCAAACAUGGUUGAGUCACUAUGGAAAAAUUAUGUACUUAUUAGGUCUUGGUUCUAUUAAUGUAACUGGUGUGCUAACCAAUCAUUCCCAGUCCAGUCACCCUAAUUGUGCUGAUUAUACAGAAUGGAUUCCAUUCAAUAGUUCCUACCCCACUCUGUGGACCCAGUGUCUUGAUCCACUGGCUAGUAAACAAUAUAUGUCAACUGAAGACACUGUGGAUUGGGAACCUAAAGGUCAAUUAGAUGGAAAAGGUGAAAGUCAGAAAUCAUGGCACAAACUUCACUGGCAUUGGCGGCAAGCUUUUAAUGCUUCUUCUUUAUACAACAGCAGAAUCCAAUCCCAGUCUGCUGCUCAGAUUGCUUGGCAUGGAGCAGGCUUUAGCCCACCUCUUCCUCAGUUGCAUUAUCUGGGGAGGAAAGGACCAAUUCAAGAAACUAUAUGGAAGGCAGCACUCCCAUUUAUGAAUGGCAACAUCUGGAUUGGAACACUGUCUAAUAAUAGCAAUAGUAAGCAACACAGUCUUAAUGUUGCAUUUGUAAAGAAUAUCACCACUCAGUUUACAGUUUGUGUUUUUAAUCCUUAUGCCUUUUUGGCAGCUAAGAAGAACCAGCUUCAGGUAAACAAUACCCAAUUGACCUGUAAAUCUUGCCAGUUAUAUCACACUGCAUUAAUCAUAGCACAUUACGAACACAUAAUAUCUCUACUUUGAUAAUGUUGGGUUGCAUCCCUGGGCUAUGGAUUCUUGUUAAUCUGUCUGAGCCUUGGGCUGCCACACCUGCUUUGCAUUUUUGUAACACUUCUUCUAACUCAGCUUACUCACUGUGUCCAUAGAGCCUUAGGCAUAAUUUUUGCUAUUGUUUCCUUGGUCAAACUAAUAACUUCUGUUGUGAUAUCUUCUGUAACUCUGCAUAAUUCUAUUCAAACAUCUCAGUAGGUGGAGAACUGGACACGCACAGCUGACCAAGCGAGGCUACUUCAGAAUAAAAUUAACACUGAGUUACAAACUGAAGUGGCAAUGUUGAAAUCCAUGGUUCUGUGGUUAGGAGAACAGGUACAAAGCUUGCAGUUGCAGCAGCAAUUGCGUCAUCAUUUUAAUCACAUUCAUAUUUGCGUAACUAACUCAGAAUAUAACCAAAGUGAGUAUCCGUGGGACCUUGUGAAAGCCCAUUUGCAAGGAGCUUUCACAUCCAACAUCACCUUUGAUAUUGGUGAAUUACAAAACAAAAUUAUUGAUUUAAAUAGGCAAACUCAAGAAUUUCAGCCUUCUUUAGAAGACUGGACCGAAUUCCAGGAAGGCCUGGAGAGCCUCAACCCUUGGACCUAUCUAAGGCACCACAUUAACAUCUUAUAUGUAGUUCUUGGAAUAAUGUUGUUUUGUCUCUGUCUUCGGUUUAUAGUCUGUAAAAUCGGAUGGACCACCAAUUGGAGAAUGAGAGCCUCCCAGCCCAGCCUUACAUUCUUUCAAUUAAUACAUAAACAGAAAGGGGGAUAUGCAGGGAGCCAAAGGCCUGUGGGACGUGACCAACUCAGCAUUCUGCUGGAGGCUAUAUGAUCAAACAGCAAACUGUUUAUCAUGAAUACAGGAUGUGAGCAAACUCAGGACUGCUCCUGCCAACAUAAGGUUUGCUGGAGGCAAUCACUCCCUGGCACCGAGGUUAUCUACUGCGACAUCUAGAGAAUGCAGUCUUGCAAGCCUACUCUGAACUGAGCAGCCGACCCCUUCUUCCACCCCCCCACCCUCCUAUCUCUUUUGCCUAAUAAAUACGGAGGGCUGUGUAAAGCUCAGGGCCCUUGUCCACUAGAGGUAAGGUGCU